UUCACCUCCUGAACAUGCAUGGCUUUCUAUCUGUGACAUCCAAAUUAGUUGCCAUGGAAAUGAUUGCAGCAUUAGGAAUGGAGAGGGCUAGGCGAUGGCAGAAGGAACAGAGCAUCUCUUAGAUGGGAGAAAAAGAAUGUAUGUAAGUGGAUGUGCUUAGUGACAAGCAGUAAGCAAGGAAGGAAAAAUUCAAGAAAUUUAAGGAUGAAAGAGGUGCAUGCAUAAGUUCAAAGCGUCUCCUGCUAGAUCACUAAUCCCACAAGAUACAUGGGUGGCAAAAGGUGGAUGGGGAAAGUGUGGCUGGAAGCACCUCGUCAGCCUGGCUAAUGCCUGGAAGUGCUGCACAGACUGUCCUGAAAUGCCAACUGUCUGUCACUGUCAUCCGUCAAGGGCAGAUCAAGGCUCACUCUGACAGAAAUCUGUGGCUUAAAAGUAAUCCACCUUAAAUUUCAUAAAUUGAAUUAACGCUUGCUAUAAAUUGAGACACUUAAGACCAAUGUGGAGUGCAAGUUAACUGCUGUUUUUAUUCCUAUUAAUUUUAUGGCUACCAUAUUUACUCUAUUAUACAUACAGGUGAAAUGAAUUAUGGUUCUUGCCCUUUGCAGAUCACUUAAACUGCCAGUGCAAUUAGAGCAUGUGUCACCUGGCAUGACAGCAGGCUGCAGUGAUAUAAAUGUUACUGAUAUUAGUAGUCAAAGGAGCAUAUGAUUUAAACUCUGGCAUCACAGCUCUGUUCCCGUCUCCAGGUGACAUUAAAUACCUUUUGGGUUACUUUCUACCUUACCGUCCCUUAGCUGGAGCAGAGAUCCAGGGUACAUCUAGCUGGAGUAGAGAGAUCCUCUACAUCAUUUGGAGAACUGUAGUUUAGAAGUUGGGUUUGCUUAUCUUUUCCUGUUUCACCAACUAUCAUAAAACAGUGUUAUGUCAGUAAUACACUUAAAAAUAAGAGUAUUCAUACAUGGGCUGAAAGGAUUAAUACAUUUCUUUUAAUGCUGUCAUUCUAGUACUUAGGAUUGCACCGUGCAUUUUUCCAUAGAGACUGGAUAUGCAGUACGA
Coturnix japonica (Japanese quail) is the source of this 1056-nucleotide non-coding RNA. The record is from RefSeq and is a predicted model, not a curated record. NCBI's taxonomy places the organism in Eukaryota, Metazoa, Chordata, Aves, Galliformes, Phasianidae.